GUUCCUGUGAACAAACGCUAACUUCUCUGAAGACUUUCAUUCCAUGAACUACUGAGAUACUGGGCUCAAUUGGAGCAACUCCAAUAUGAUUGACAGCUUGUCAAGAGGAAAAAAAAAAUCAGCAAAAGCAGUUGCAGCAGCCACUAAUUCAGAACUUAGCAAGUGGUGACUCUUAGAACCUGAGAGCCAUGCUAACUUGAUGAGAAAAUACUUUUACAUCAAAAGUGGCUUCCUGUUACAUUUGUAAAUUUCAUGUUACUGUUAGAAAAAAAAUAGACUAAAUUGGAAUACAGUAUCCAGAAAGAGAUAUCCAUUUGCAAGAAGUGUUAUAUAGGCUGUUGAUUUUUUCUACAUGGCUUUCCAAUGAACUUUGGAUUACUUACAGCUUUGAUUCUGAUGAUAUAAUGAUGGCCAACAUUGGCAGCCAUGGUUUCUACCAGAUGUCAGUUUUGUCCAAAUAAAGCAAU
RNAcentral lists this long non-coding RNA (467 nucleotides) under Monodelphis domestica (gray short-tailed opossum). RNAcentral describes it as "lncRNA (ENSMODG00000043537.1)". The record is from RNAcentral. Lineage: Eukaryota; Metazoa; Chordata; Mammalia; Didelphimorphia; Didelphidae.